UAUACCCCUCCCUCCCUCCUCUUACAGCUCCCUCACCCCAUCAAGCUGGCUCAAUAAAAAGGGAGGAGAAAUCAUACUUUGACCAAACCCCACUUCGGUUCUCGACUGAGCACAUUCUCCGGUCGACCAUGAUCAAGCGCAUUCUCCUUUUGGUUGUUGUGUAUUCUAUGCUACUGGUGACGGUGGCUAGCGCAAAGAAUGGCCUUGGAGCAAGAUCAGACAUUGCAGCAAGAAAUAAUGGCCUUUGAGCAAGAUCAGACCUUGGAGCAAGAUUUGGCCCACCACGUUGAAAGGGGAAGAAUAUACUUCCCAGAACGAGGUUGAUGAUGGUGAUAAUGGUUGGUGGAAGUCAAUAAAAUCACUGCAAAGCAAAA
RNAcentral lists this long non-coding RNA (374 nucleotides) under Penaeus japonicus. RNAcentral describes it as "uncharacterized LOC122262460". Lineage: Eukaryota; Metazoa; Arthropoda; Malacostraca; Decapoda; Penaeidae. The record is from RNAcentral.